This 253-nucleotide ribosomal RNA is filed under the name uncultured bacterium. RNAcentral describes it as "partial 16S ribosomal RNA". It matches the Rfam family "Bacterial small subunit ribosomal RNA", at positions 524 to 776 of the family's 1533-position model. The record is from RNAcentral.
UCCAGAGGUCUCAAGCGUUGUUCGGAUUCAUUGGGCGUAAAGGGCGCGUAGGCGGUGGGGUAAGUCUGGUGUGAAAUCUCGGAGCUCAACUUCGAAAUUGCACUGGAUACUGCUCUGCUAGAGGGCUGGAGAGGAGAUCGGAAUUCACGGUGUAGCAGUGAAAUGCGUAGAUAUCGUGAGGAAGACCAGUGGCGAAGGCGGAUCUCUGGACAGCUCCUGACGCUGAGGCGCGAAGGCUAGGGGAGCAAACGGG